This 215-nucleotide ribosomal RNA is filed under the name Campeiostachys nutans. RNAcentral's name for it is "Elymus nutans partial small subunit ribosomal RNA". The stretch from base 38 to 215 matches the Rfam family "Eukaryotic small subunit ribosomal RNA", at positions 685 to 864 of the family's 1831-position model. Lineage: Eukaryota; Viridiplantae; Streptophyta; Magnoliopsida; Poales; Poaceae. The record is from RNAcentral.
GGAUCAGAUUGUUGGUCGUGCCUCGGUACGCACUGGCAUUAUUGGUUCCUACCUUCUGAAGAACCGCGAUGUCAUUAAUUUGGUGUCGUGGGGAAUCAGGACUGUUACUUUGAAAAAAUUAGAGUGUUUAAAGCAGGCGCACGCUUGAAUACAUUAGCAUGGAAUAAUGAAAUAGGACGUUUGAUUCUAUUUUGUUGGUUUUCAAAUUCGCCGUA